AACGCAUAUUGCGCCCGAGGCCUCGGCCGAGGGCAUGCCUGCCUCAGCGUCGGUUUACCCCUUCUUCUGUCCUCGUUCAGGCGAGGCUACAGUCGGACCUGGUCGUCCAGCUGGAAACAGCGGGUCGGCUGCAGCGCAGAGAGAUGCCGGCCUUCCGUCGACAGACGCGGCCAGAUUGGUAGGUGAUCGACCACGAUUGCAUGCCCUUCUGGAAGCUAGACGGAGGGUCGGAUCCCCUCGAACCCUCGGGUUCACCCAUUCUCAGUUCGACCUGAGUUCAGGCAAGACCACCCGCUCAACUUAA
Molecule: unclassified non-coding RNA, 304 nt
Filed under: uncultured fungus
Lineage: Eukaryota; Fungi
Description: partial contains 5.8S ribosomal RNA, internal transcribed spacer 2, and large subunit ribosomal RNA
Source: RNAcentral